GAGUUUGAUCCUGGCUCAGAACGAACGCUGGCGGCAGGCCUAACACAUGCAAGUCGAGCGCACUCUUCGGAGUGAGCGGCGGACGGGUUAGUAACGCGUGGGAACGUACCCAGAUCUAAGGAAUAGCCACUGGAAACGGUGAGUAAUACCUUAUACGCCCUUCGGGGGAAAGAUUUAUCGGAUUUGGAUCGGCCCGCGUUAGAUUAGAUAGUUGGUGGGGUAACGGCCUACCAAGUCUACGAUCUAUAGCUGGUUUUAGAGGAUGAUCAGCAACACUGGGACUGAGACACGGCCCAGACUCCUACGGGAGGCAGCAGUGGGGAAUCUUGGACAAUGGGCGCAAGCCUGAUCCAGCCAUGCCGCGUGAGUGAUGAAGGCCUUAGGGUCGUAAAGCUCUUUCGCCAGGGAUGAUAAUGACAGUACCUGGUAAAGAAACCCCGGCUAACUCCGUGCCAGCAGCCGCGGUAAUACGGAGGGGGUUAGCGUUGUUCGGAAUUACUGGGCGUAAAGCGCGCGUAGGCGGGUUGUUAAGUUAGAGGUGAAAUCCCGGGGCUCAACCCCGGAACUGCCUUUAAUACUGGCAACCUAGAGUUCGAGAGAGGUGAGUGGAAUUCCGAGUGUAGAGGUGAAAUUCGUAGAUAUUCGGAGGAACACCAGUGGCGAAGGCGGCUCACUGGCUCGAUACUGACGCUGAGGUGCGAAAGUGUGGGGAGCAAACAGGAUU
Molecule: ribosomal RNA, 724 nt
Filed under: uncultured bacterium
Lineage: Bacteria
Description: bacterial SSU rRNA
Rfam family: Bacterial small subunit ribosomal RNA
Source: RNAcentral